CCUCCUAUCUGGAUUAGCUUUUAGCUAAAGAAUAUUUAGAUAUAGCAGGUAGCAAAAAGACAAAAAAAAAAAAAGAAAAAGAAAAUCCAGAUAG
Molecule: long non-coding RNA, 94 nt
Organism: Neomonachus schauinslandi (Hawaiian monk seal)
Lineage: Eukaryota; Metazoa; Chordata; Mammalia; Carnivora; Phocidae
Exons: 3
Source: RefSeq, a predicted model, not a curated record